GUCCAUGCCGUAAACGAUGUCUACUAGCCGUUGGGGCCUUUGAGGCUUUAGUGGCGCAGCUAACGCGAUAAGUAGACCGCCUGGGGAGUACGGUCGCAAGACUAAAACUCAAAUGAAUUGACGGGGGCCCGCACAAGCGGUGGAGCAUGUGGUUUAAUUCGAUGCAACGCGAAGAACCUUACCUGGUCUUGACAUAUACAGGAAUAUGGCAGAGAUGUCAUAGCCGCAAGGUCUGUAUACAGGUGGUGCAUGGUUGUCGU
Molecule: ribosomal RNA, 260 nt
Filed under: uncultured bacterium
Lineage: Bacteria
Description: partial 16S ribosomal RNA
Rfam family: Bacterial small subunit ribosomal RNA
Source: RNAcentral